This 459-nucleotide ribosomal RNA is filed under the name uncultured bacterium. RNAcentral's name for it is "bacterial SSU rRNA". It matches the Rfam family "Bacterial small subunit ribosomal RNA", at positions 29 to 532 of the family's 1533-position model. The record is from RNAcentral.
AACGAACGCUGGCGGCAGGCUUAACACAUGCAAGUCGAGCGCGUAGCAAUACGAGCGGCAGACGGGUGAGUAACGCGUGGGAAUCUACCCAACCCUACGGAAUAACGCAUGGAAACGUGUGCUAAUACCGUAUACGCCCUUUGGGGGAAAGAUUUAUCGGGGAUGGAUGAGCCCGCGUUGGAUUAGCUAGUUGGUGGGGUAAAGGCCUACCAAGGCGACGAUCCAUAGCUGGUCUGAGAGGAUGAUCAGCCACAUUGGGACUGAGACACGGCCCAAACUCCUACGGGAGGCAGCAGUGGGGAAUAUUGGACAAUGGGCGCAAGCCUGAUCCAGCCAUGCCGCGUGAGUGAUGAAGGCCCUAGGGUUGUAAAGCUCUUUCACCGGUGAAGAUAAAUGACGGUAACCGGAGAAGAAGCCCCGGCUAACUUCGUGCCAGCAGCCGCGGUAAAGUGACUACUG